CCUACGGGUGGCAGCAGUGGGGGAUAUUGCACAAUGGGGGGAACCCUGAUGCAGCGAUGCCGCGUGGGUGAAGAAGCGCUUCGGCGCGUAAAGUCCUUUCAGCAGGGAAGAAAAUGACGGUACUUGUAGAAGAAGCACCGGCUAACUACGUGCGAGCAGCCGCGGUAAUACGGAGGGGGCGAGCGUUAUCCGGAUUUACUGGGUGGAAGGGGGAUGCAGACGGCGGAUCAAGCCAGGGGUGAAGGCCCCGGGCCCAACCCCGGGACUGCUCCUGGAACUGCGUGGCUGGAGUGCAGGAGAGGCGGGCGGAAUUCCUGGUGUAGCGGUGAAAUGCGUAGAGAUCAGGAGGAACACCGGUGGCGAAGGCGGCCUGCUGGACUAAAACUGACGUUGAGGCCCGAAAGCGUGGGGAGCAAACAGGAUUAGAUACCCGAGUAGUC
This 440-nucleotide ribosomal RNA is filed under the name uncultured bacterium. RNAcentral describes it as "partial 16S ribosomal RNA". It matches the Rfam family "Bacterial small subunit ribosomal RNA", at positions 338 to 795 of the family's 1533-position model. The record is from RNAcentral.